This 641-nucleotide ribosomal RNA is filed under the name uncultured Alphaproteobacteria bacterium. RNAcentral describes it as "bacterial SSU rRNA". It matches the Rfam family "Bacterial small subunit ribosomal RNA", at positions 48 to 735 of the family's 1533-position model. The record is from RNAcentral. Lineage: Bacteria; Pseudomonadati; Pseudomonadota; Alphaproteobacteria.
CUAAUACAUGCAAGUCGAACGAGAUCUUCGGAUCUAGUGGCGCACGGGUGCGUAACGCGUGGGAAUCUGCCCUUGGGUUCGGAAUAACUUCUGGAAACGGAAGCUAAUACCGGAUGAUGACGUAAGUCCAAAGAUUUAUCGCCCAAGGAUGAGCCCGCGUAGGAUUAGCUAGUUGGUGAGGUAAAGGCUCACCAAGGCGACGAUCCUUAGCUGGUCUGAGAGGAUGAUCAGCCACACUGGGACUGAGACACGGCCCAGACUCCUACGGGAGGCAGCAGUAGGGAAUAUUGGACAAUGGGGGAAACCCUGAUCCAGCAAUGCCGCGUGAGUGAUGAAGGCCUUAGGGUUGUAAAGCUCUUUUACCCGGGAUGAUAAUGACAGUACCGGGAGAAUAAGCUCCGGCUAACUCCGUGCCAGCAGCCGCGGUAAUACGGAGGGAGCUAGCGUUGUUCGGAAUUACUGGGCGUAAAGCGCACGUAGGCGGCUAUUCAAGUCAGAGGUGAAAGCCCGGGGCUCAACCCCGGAACUGCCUUUGAAACUAGAUAGCUUGAAUCCAGGAGAGGUGAGUGGAAUUCCGAGUGUAGAGGUGAAAUUCGUAGAUAUUCGGAAGAACACCAGUGGCGAAGGCGGCUCACUGGACU